Molecule: long non-coding RNA, 471 nt
Filed under: Nicotiana benthamiana
Lineage: Eukaryota; Viridiplantae; Streptophyta; Magnoliopsida; Solanales; Solanaceae
Description: long non-coding RNA (NBEN_LNC002288)
Source: RNAcentral
ACUAACAUAACUAAAACUUAUUUCCAAUUAGUUGGCAUUGAUAUAAUGAGUGCCUAGGUGAGCACUUCCAAGCAAUAUAUUCCAUAUUGUAGGAUCCAUCGUGAAUUGACUUAAUUUUACGGUGCAUGUCAACUUACCACAUAGGAGCUUUGGAGCAACGAUAAGGUUGUCUCCCUGUAACUUAUCGGUUAGGAGUUCGAGCCGUGGAAUCAGUCACUGAUGUUUGCACUAGAGAGGUUACCUAUAUCACACCCCUUAGGGUGCGGUCCUUUUCUGGAUCUUUUGUGAAUGCCGGAUGCUUCAUGCACCAGGCUGCCCUUGAUCAACUUACGAGAAUCCUCCCAUUUUAUUCGUGCUUGAAACCGAUAAUUUAGGUUAACUUAGGCGGUGUUUCGGAUGAUUUCUAACUGAAGUAUCUCGGUUAAAUUUGCAGUUGGCAAUUGGAGGUAUUUUAUCAGUCAAUUUGAGGGA